UGACGAGUGGCGGACGGGUGAGUAAUGUCUGGGAAACUGCCUGAUGGAGGGGGAUAACUACUGGAAACGGUAGCUAAUACCGCAUAACGUCGCAAGACCAAAGAGGGGGACCUUCGGGCCUCUUGCCAUCGGAUGUGCCCAGAUGGGAUUAGCUUGUUGGUGGGGUAACGGCUCACCAAGGCGACGAUCCCUAGCUGGUCUGAGAGGAUGACCAGCCACACUGGAACUGAGACACGGUCCAGACUCCUACGGGAGGCAGCAGUGGGGAAUAUUGCACAAUGGGCGCAAGCCUGAUGCAGCCAUGCCGCGUGUAUGAAGAAGGCCUUCGGGUUGUAAAGUACUUUCAGCGGGGAGGAAGGGAGUAAAGUUAAUACCUUUACUCAUUGACGUUACCCGCAGAAGAAGCACCGGCUAACUCCGUGCCAGCAGCCGCGGUAAUACGGAGGGUGCAAGCGUUAAUCGGAAUUACUGGGCGUAAAGCGCACGCAGGCGGUUUGU
This 498-nucleotide ribosomal RNA is filed under the name Escherichia coli. RNAcentral's name for it is "bacterial SSU rRNA". It matches the Rfam family "Bacterial small subunit ribosomal RNA", at positions 89 to 583 of the family's 1533-position model. Lineage: Bacteria; Pseudomonadati; Pseudomonadota; Gammaproteobacteria; Enterobacterales; Enterobacteriaceae. The record is from RNAcentral.